This is a long non-coding RNA of Bos taurus (domestic cattle), 1711 nucleotides long. NCBI's taxonomy places the organism in Eukaryota, Metazoa, Chordata, Mammalia, Artiodactyla, Bovidae. The record is from Ensembl.
AGGUCCCACUGACUCCAUGGCCUGCCUGCUUCACCACAGCGUUCUCCCACCUUUCUCUCCUCUCAGCACCUGAUGGAGACUCUGCUCCGUUCCUAGACAGGCUACAGGUUGUCCUGUCUCUGUCUACCUCCCGCAUCAGACUGUGAGGUUUUCCAGGGCAGGGCCAUGUCACAUGAUCCCCCUCGAGUCUGCUCAUCGCAGGCAUCAUACUCCUUUAAAGGACUCAAUUCGACAAGACCCAGAGCAGAGACUGCCCACUGGCCCCUCCUCCUGUGUUUCUGCACCCUCACCUCACCAAGCAGGAGCAUCCCCACCCACUGAUUCUGCCAGGCUCCAUCUCAGGGCCUCUACAGGUUCCUCCUGGCAUCACUGAGCCUCUCCUUACAGUGUUUCCAAAAUCUCGAUGAGCCUUUGCAUUUUAAGCAGCUGCGAUUGUAUCAGAUUCCACCCCGCCUCCCCUGGUCUUUCCAGCCGCUCAGGUCUACCCAAGUUUGAUGAACUGAUCUCGGUUAGAUAAAUCCCAUCAGCUGUCGGCUUUGCUCAGACUCUGGGAAUGACAUUUCUCCGGUUUGUUCAGUUUUAAUGCAAAGGAGACACUUGUUCCUACUGAAAACCUUCAAGGCCAGGUGAGACUAAUAAAGAGUUUUAUACAAACGGCCCCACUCCGCCAAUCUGGGCCAAAUGGCUGGCUUCUGGCUCCCUGUGGUUUCUGGAAGGCAGGAAGCCGCAGACAGCAGACCACGGAGGGCGCCAGCGAGACAGCCUUUCUCUUGGCUUCAUGCCACCGCCAUUCUAGAUUCCUUUUUCCUAUUCUAACUACCUAACAGAUUCAAAGGUCUGGGAUGGAACCUGAGGAUCUGCAUUUCAACGGGCUCUCAGCGGUCACAGCUCAUCCACAGGCACUAGCCCACCUGUCCUUACCUGGCCCUGAAGCCUGACAUUCCAUUUCACAGAACUUUUAUGAGUUUGAAAACCCAAUCAGAAGAGACAACCAGGGGACGUGUCUCAAAGGCAUGUUGGAAUCAUAAGCCCAGUCUUCAUUUCAGUUUUUGUUUCACGUCGUUUGGAGGGAAAACCCUAACUAAUAGAGCUCCCAUCACAGAAGCUCACCCAGGUUGGCUACCCAGCAAUAGUGCACAAUAGGAGUGCUAAGUUGCUUCAGACUCUUUGCGACCCCGUGGACUAUAGUCCAGCAGGCUCCUCUGUCCAUGGGAUACUGAACGCAAGAAUACUGGAGCGGCACAUUAGGGACAAGACACAAAAGCAAAGUCAAGUCUGGUCCAUUCUACCUGCCCCAAGGCACUGGCCCAGCUUCUCAGCCCAAGGUUCUGGUCUGCUGCUGCUAAAGUGAAUGAGGAAUGUUGCAACAACAUCUGGAGCCGCCCCCAGCGGAAGCCUGCAGAGUGGCAGUGGCAGCGGUGACAGCUCAGAACGCAGGCCUCUCACCGUGUGGACAUCCACGCAUCCACCAGCACACACAGACUAUGUGCACGUGGUCAUGUCUACAUGUCCACACGUACACAUGCACAUGCGUGUGUGUUUGUACACCACACAAGCAUGCCCUCUUCUCCUUGCACUUGAUUAACCAAGGAUGGCUGCUACCCCACUCCUGAGCUCAAGGUACCUCAUUUCCAAAGACUAGCCAGGACUGACCAGCACCAAUGGUUCCAUGACUGUGAGAGAGGAAAUAUGAGUGGCAAAGCUUGGGUCA